Molecule: long non-coding RNA, 2353 nt
Organism: Oreochromis niloticus (Nile tilapia)
Lineage: Eukaryota; Metazoa; Chordata; Actinopteri; Cichliformes; Cichlidae
Source: Ensembl
ACUUUUCUGCAAUGUCAUCCGACGAUGAUGAAAGGAAUACGAUGAUAAUAACAUUGUUCAACAAAGGCUUAAAACAAAAGGAAAUCAGCUGUGUACUCAAUUCAUAUGGGCAUAAAAUAAGUGAGAGGCAUCUGAGACGAGUUUUAAAACUUCUAGGGUUGAAGCGAAGAUGCCCCCAACGACCUUUUACUGAAAUCCACAAAGCAGUGGAGAGUGAGAUGAAACAGUGUUCUCCUGAACAAGGAAUCAGGGCAAUGGUAAAGCGGGUAAGGGAUGUCAGAGGAGUGCGGCCUUGUUACAGAGACGAUGUUGCUAAUAUAAUGAGGGAUAUGGAUGCAAGUGGUCUUCAGAGGAGAUCUCCUGGAAAGAAGAAAAUUCCCCGUCGGAAUUACAUCAGCCGUGGUCCAAAUGACACCUGGCACAUUGAUGGCAAUGAUAAACUGAAGUUCUUUGGAAUGUGGAUACAUUUGGGGAUUGAUGGAUUUUCCAGGAAGGUUCUAUGGCUAAAGGUGGGCACAUCCAACCGCAAACAAACUUUGUGGCCAGAUACUUCUUUGAGGCUGUUCAAGAACAGGGUGGUAUGCAAUAUACUUAAAAAGGGGGUUAAAAAAAGAUUACAUUUUGGUUAUAAAUUUAUUUUUUCAUCAUUCACUAAUUAUCUUCAGUUUGUGUCUUUAGGCUGUCCUCAAAUGAUUCGGGGGACAGAGGAAAGGAGAACCUUGUUGUUGGUCAAAUGCAGAUGGCAUUUCACAUGCGAGAUCUUGGGAAUCAGGCAUGGAGGUGCUUCAGAAUGGGGACAUCAGUGCACAACCAGGUAUGUCUUUAAGCUGGUAAAUGACUAUUUCUAAAGUAACAACCUGACAACAAACUGAUAAUGUCAUGUUUAUGUUGUUUAGAGAGCUGAAUGUUUUAACAGUAUUUUAAAGCGGACAUGGAUUAAGAAAUGGCUGACAACAUUUGAGGUAAAGCAAAUCUUUCACCUGUAAAACCUAAUAACAAAGACUAGCCAUCAAAAUUGCGCUAAACAUACGAUGGAUUAGUUUAUCUGAAAACACUAUGCUGGAAUUUUUUUUUUUUUUGUACAUCUGUACCUUUUCACUGAUGAAAUGCUCACCUUCACAACUUAUGUCUUUUCAAACCACAUGCUUAGGCCAUGAUGGAGUCUGGGAUCCUUGAACUGGACAAUCCUGUGCACAUGUAAGUCAAUAUUUUAGACAUGAAAAAUGAUCAAGCAGCAGUAUGAAAGUAUGUGGUCUAGGAAUGCCUUUGUUUUUUGAGUACUGAUUAAAAAUUAGCUUUUACAUAUUCUUCCUCAAAGAAGCAGAUGAACAUAUUAACUUUUUAAUUAUCCUUUUUCAUAGCAACUGCUUGCAGUACUCACACUUGCCACUGCUUCAAAGAGACUUAAAAACGGAGCAAACAGUUUGGAACACCCAUGACAUCCGCAAGCAACGCAAUGCACCAGGUCCAUUUGGGAAACCCGACCUUCUGUUUACCUCACCACCUCCUGGUAUGUCAUUUGAAAGUCUGUGGGGUUUUUUUCUUUUUUUUCUUUUAACUUUCAUUAGUUUACUUUUACUUUAAUAUAGCACUCUUCACAGGAUAAAAACCACAAAGUGGCUUCACAAUAAUAUAAAACAGACAUAACAGCACAAUCGAACAUACAGAAUAAAUACAAUCAAGGAAACAUAAUGAUGUAGGGCAGAGCAUUUCAUGACCUGGGAGCCACCGUUCUGCAAGAUCUAUUGCCUCUGGUCUUCUGGUGGGACUACUAACAGCCAUUGAUUAGAUGAUCACAGGCUGGGAGAGGGAGUGUGGGGUUCUAUAAGAUCAGAAAUGUAGGCAGGAGCUUCACGAUUCGGAGCUUUGAAAGUCAUUACUAAAAUUUUAAAAUGAUUUUUCUAAAAUAUACUGGAAUCCAGUGUAAUGAGCGUAAAACUGUUAUAAUGUGCUUUCUUUUAUUUGUCUUCCUAAGAAGCUUACUUCUGGUACAAUCUGAGAUUUCUGAAUUUCUACUGUCAAUACAAAUAUGGCUUCAUAUUGGCACCUUUAACUAAAAAUUAAUCAAAAUGUUUGAGUGAUAUUUACAUCUUUCAGUUUCUGCAAUAACAUCUGUAAAAACUGACUGCUUAUUAUACAGGUUGUAGAACAGCUUUAUGAUUAUUCAUUUAUUUUUAACAUUCCAAAGUGAACAUCUUUUCAAUAUUGUCUUUCAUUCGCAGGAUAUGGCAAUGUGCUGCACAUAGUUGACCCAGACCUUUUAGACUACGCCAAGCAAUUAAUCUGUGAGGUGGAAGAGCCUUCACUGGUAGCAAACCAGGAAUUCAGAGACAUGUGCCAGAACAUUUUAGAA